Molecule: ribosomal RNA, 433 nt
Filed under: uncultured bacterium
Lineage: Bacteria
Description: partial 16S ribosomal RNA
Rfam family: Bacterial small subunit ribosomal RNA
Source: RNAcentral
AACGAACGCUGGCGGCAGGCCUAACACAUGCAAGUCGAGCGAGCAUUUCGGUGCUAGCGGCGGACGGGUGAGUAACGCGUGGGAACGUGCCCUUUUCUGCGGAAUAGUCCUGGGAAACUGGGGGUAAUACCGCAUACGCCCUUUUGGGGAAAGAUUUAUCGGAGAAGGAUCGGCCCGCGUUGGAUUAGGUAGUUGGUGGGGUAAUGGCCCACCAAGCCGACGAUCCAUAGCUGGUUUGAGAGGAUGAUCAGCCACGCUGGGACUGAGACACGGCCCAGACUCCUACGGGAGGCAGCAGUGGGGAAUCUUAGACAAUGGGGGCAACCCUGAUCUAGCCAUGCCGCGUGAGUGAUGAAGGCCUUAGGGUUGUAAAGCUCUUUCAGCUGGGAAGAUAAUGACGGUACCAGCAGAAGAAGCCCCGGCUAACUCCGUG